Cavia porcellus (domestic guinea pig) is the source of this 1620-nucleotide long non-coding RNA. The record is from Ensembl. Lineage: Eukaryota; Metazoa; Chordata; Mammalia; Rodentia; Caviidae.
CUGAGCCCAGGGGGUAUCUGAGCCCUUGGGAAGCCCCCUUCCCCCAGUACCCCCCCCCCCCACUCUCCGUCCUUGCAGAUGUGAGGGACCCGGUGAAGCUCGUGAGAGACACAGCGGCCUGGGGAUGGAGUCUACCCGUGACCACCCUGUCCUCCUUCCACCGCGGCUGCUGCCCUCUGCUCCCACUCCCACGGCGGCCUCGCACCCCAGGACUCGCACCCCUGCUCCCCCGCCCUGUGCUGCACCCCACACCUGCUGCACCCCAGCCAGGGCUGCAUCUUGACUCUGGGCCGCGCCUCGGUUUGUGUUGCACUGCAACACUAGCUGCACCCCCAUCGCGGGCCGUGCUCUAACUCCUGACCAUGCCCUGAUACCUGUUGCACCCCUGUCUCCGCUGCACGCCAUCCCGGGCCGCCCUCCCAGUCCUCGAACCGGGCCGCACUUCAUUCCGGGUCGGUCCCCCCACCCUGUCCCCUCCGCACCGUCCCCUCCCCCUCCUCGGGCCUGCGUGCUCGCCGGCGCCAUGGGCAGCGGCAGCAGCCGGAGCUUCGGGGUGCAGAGGCGGCGGGGGCCCCACUGCCCCGCGGCUCCCGAGCACGGCCCGAGCGCGGCGAUUGCGGCGGUGACCGCAGACGCGGGCCCCGGCCCCGGAGACAGCGGCGCCCUCCGACGGCCGCGCGGAGGCGCUGCGCCUGCUGGACCUGCUGCUGGCCGAGUCCGCGGCUUGGGGCGCGCAGGGGCCCGCGGGGUCCCCCGCCUGAGGUGUCCCCAGGGCUGCAGGCUGAGGACACCCCAGAGAGCAGCCGAGAGAGCAGCCGAGCCUCCGAAGCCCUAGGUGAGAACCCUACCCAGGCCUCGAGGCAGUCUUCCAUCUCCUACAGCCGCGCGGAAGAGGAGCUGAUGGCCAGUAUUGAGCAGGAGUAUGGCCACUAAGGCUGCUCACAGUGGCUGUCCUGGUCCCCAUCUGUCCCUAGCCAGGCAUCAGUGGAACAGAGCCACCUCCUGAGGACCCGCUCUGGACUCAAAUCCCCCUGAGCAGUCUCGUACACAGCCGCUGAGGGGCCUGGAGACCAGCACUGGUCCUCUGUGUCGUCAGGAGCCAGUGACCCUUUCUUAUGUCACCACUGUCCAGGGAGCACAGGCUUCUGAGGCUGGGACUGUGGUCAGGCGCCACCAGCCAGCAUGCCCGCCAUGGCAGCUUUUGCUGAAACAGGCGCCCUUCAGAGGUGGAGCCCCAGGAUGCAGCCCUGGGCCAGGCGUCCCCACUCCUCUGGUCCUCAAGGGUCACCAGCUAUCAGGACGCCAGAAUUUCCAUGGUCAGGGUGAGAGUGGCUUUGAUCCCAGCUCCUAGGGCUCCUAAGCCCAAAGCAUCCCUUCUGACAGGAGAGGACCACUGCUAACUCAAGUGCUGACUGUAAAAGAAGCUGAAAAAAGAAUGCUGAAUUUUUAUUCUUAAACUGAAUGUGGUGAUGCACACCUGUGACCCCAAUGCUGAGGUGGCUGGGGCAGGAGGAUCCCAGAGAGUUUAAAGCUGAGCUGGACUAGAUUGCAAGACCCUGGCCCAAAACAACAAAUAAAUAAAAGAGUUUUCUUACUGCCAGAACUAGGCUUUGAAUUGAC